UGGGUAACCUGCCUCUUGCUCUGGGAUAACUCCGGGAAACCGGGGCUAAUACCGGAUAUUCAUUUCUGGCCGCAUGGUUGGUUGUGGAAAGUUUUUCGGCGAGAGAUGGACCCGCGGCCUAUCAGCUUGUUGGUGGGGUGAUGGCCUACCAAGGCGACGACGGGUAGCCGGCCUGAGAGGGCGACCGGCCACACUGGGACUGAGACACGGCCCAGACCUCCGUACGGGAGGCA
RNAcentral lists this ribosomal RNA (233 nucleotides) under uncultured bacterium. RNAcentral describes it as "partial 16S ribosomal RNA". It matches the Rfam family "Bacterial small subunit ribosomal RNA", at positions 118 to 350 of the family's 1533-position model. The record is from RNAcentral.